Molecule: long non-coding RNA, 390 nt
Filed under: Mytilus galloprovincialis (Mediterranean mussel)
Lineage: Eukaryota; Metazoa; Mollusca; Bivalvia; Mytilida; Mytilidae
Source: RNAcentral
GGCAGACAACUCUGCAUGAUUUCAAAUUUUUCCAUGCUCAUGCUGUGGAAAAGUAAUUGUUUUCAAUCAAUGUAGAAUGCAUUGCACUGAGACUCUAGGGGGUCGAUGAGUUUAAGAUAUAAAAAUUAUUUAUUCAGUAACACUGCUGUUUAAAUAGUGUUGACAAUUCAAAUGUUCUAUGAAAAAAUCCCUUUUGUAUUAUGACAUAAUAAAAGCCAAUAGAUAUAUCUUCAAGGUAUCCAUACAGUUACUGAGAGAUGAGUGAACAAAAUGACUGAUCGUUGAUCUGGGUAAAUGACGCCAUUGAAGUCAAAAGUAAAAGCCUUGCGACAUAAGUAUUUUGUAGCUGCAGAACCGUAACUCUUAUGGUCCUUUAUUAUUGUUUUUCCC